AUGAUGGCCUGGCGGAGCAACAACAAGUCGCGGCAGUCCGGCUCUGGCCUGGCGGACCUCGCCACCCGCCUCACCAAGUGCCUGGCCGAUGCAAACCCUAGCACCAAGCUCGUCUUCUCGCCGCUGUCCAUCUACGUCGCCGUCGCGCUCCUGGCGCCCGGCGCCCGGGCAGGCACCCUGGACGAGGUCCUGCGCCUCCUCGGGGCGCUCUCCCGCGAGGAGCUGGAGGUGUCCAUCUCGCGCAUGGCCGACGACGCGCUCCAGGACCGGUCGAGAUCCGGCGGGACGAGCGUCGCGUCCGCGUGCGGGGUGUGGAACGACAAAAGGCGUCCGCUGAAGCCGGCUUACCGCGAGGCCGUCAUCGGCACGUACAGAGCACAGGCGGAGACCUUGGAUAUCAGGGAGAACGCGGUGGCGGCGGCGCAACACAUCAACGCCUGGGUCGCCGAGGUCACCAGGAACCUCAUCAAGGACGUCGUCUCUGCAGAAACCAUUGACUCGGCCGACGUCGUGCUCACCAACACCAUAUACUUCAAAGGCAGGUGGAACCUGCCAUUCGACUAG
This 564-nucleotide ribosomal RNA is filed under the name Triticum aestivum (bread wheat). Its description in RNAcentral is "partial small subunit ribosomal RNA". Lineage: Eukaryota; Viridiplantae; Streptophyta; Magnoliopsida; Poales; Poaceae. The record is from RNAcentral.